RNAcentral lists this transfer RNA (68 nucleotides) under Bombus asiaticus. RNAcentral's name for it is "tRNA-Arg". The record is from RNAcentral. Lineage: Eukaryota; Metazoa; Arthropoda; Insecta; Hymenoptera; Apidae.
AUAUAAGAAGUAAAAUUUACUUUUAAUUUCGACUUAAAGAUUGAUUUAUUUAAAUAAAUCCUUAUAUU